ACUCAAAGGAAUUGACGGGGGCCCGCACAAGCGGUGGAGCAUGUGGUUCAAUUCGACGCAACGCGAAGAACCUUACCCAGGCUUGAACAGCGAGUGACCACUCCUGAAAGGGAGCUUCCGCAAGGACACUCGUAGAGGUGCUGCAUGGCUGUCGUCAGCUCGUGUCGUGAGAUGUUGGGUUAAGUCCCGCAACGAGCGCAACCCUUGUCUUCUGUUGCCAUCAGGUUAUGCUGGGCACUCUGGAGAGACUGCCGGUGAUAAACCGGAGGAAGGUGGGGAUGACGUCAAGUCAGCAUGGCCUUUAUGUCUGGGGCUACACACGUGCUACAAUGGCCGGCACAAACCGUCGCGAGCCCGCAAGGGGGAGCUAAUCGGAGAAAGUCGGUCUCAGUUCGGAUCGUCGGCUGCAACUCGCCGGCGUGAAGUUGGAAUCGCUAGUAAUCGCGGAUCAGCACGCCGCGGUGAAUACGUUCCCGGGCCUUGCACACACCGCCCGU
Molecule: ribosomal RNA, 497 nt
Filed under: uncultured bacterium
Lineage: Bacteria
Description: partial 16S ribosomal RNA
Rfam family: Bacterial small subunit ribosomal RNA
Source: RNAcentral